CACGAUGAUGCCAACACCGUUUCUCGUUCUAUUUGUGCCCGAAUACCAAAGUUUAAACCCUGAGUUUUCUAGAUCCUUUGCCUUACGACCAACCCACUUAGUUUCUUGUAGGCACAUAAUAUUUAUCUUUCUCCUCACCAUAACUUCGACUACUUCCAUAGAUUUUCCCGUUAAGGUUCCUAUAUUCCACGUUCCUAAACGCAUUUUGCUCUCUUGAACUCUACCCUUCUGUCCUAGCUUCUUCACCCU
This 249-nucleotide long non-coding RNA is filed under the name Malus domestica (apple). RNAcentral's name for it is "long non-coding RNA (MDOM_LNC017331)". The record is from RNAcentral. Lineage: Eukaryota; Viridiplantae; Streptophyta; Magnoliopsida; Rosales; Rosaceae.